GGUCGUAUAGCUCAGCUGGGAGAGCGCUUGAAUGGCAUUCAAGCGGUCAGCGGUUCGAUCCCGCUUAUCUCCACCA
Molecule: transfer RNA, 76 nt
Filed under: Desulfitobacterium dichloroeliminans LMG P-21439
Lineage: Bacteria; Bacillati; Bacillota; Clostridia; Eubacteriales; Desulfitobacteriaceae
Description: tRNA-Ala
Rfam family: tRNA
About the family: Transfer RNA (tRNA) molecules are approximately 80 nucleotides in length.
Source: RNAcentral